Molecule: long non-coding RNA, 1011 nt
Filed under: Ficedula albicollis (Collared flycatcher)
Lineage: Eukaryota; Metazoa; Chordata; Aves; Passeriformes; Muscicapidae
Description: lncRNA (ENSFALG00000024957.1)
Source: RNAcentral
AUGAUUUUUAAACCGUGCAUGAAUAGUUUAGACAGAGUGAUCUUGGCAUCCAGCUACAUAGAACUGAGAAGCCCGUGCAGUGGACCACGUCUAUGCUUUGGCUCUUGGGGAAAAGAAAAAAAAGAAAAAAAAAGGAGAUGUCCUAGGACUGUGCAAGAGGGAUCUCUGAGAAAUAACAACAAUCACUUCUGCAUGCUCCUCCUGCAGUGCUCUGAGAGACUAACCAAGGGCUUUCUCCUAAGUUCUACCAGUGCAGAGCUGAGGGGAAGUGUCCUGGUAUCAAAGGCUCACUUAAAGGAUGAAUUAUACCAUUCCUACAAUUACAUUACUUUCCUCUGUUGGCUUUUAUGAUGCAAAGGUGAGGAUAGAGUUGUUUAAACACUGGUAGAAGCAACUUAAGAAACAAUACUCUGUAGAGCCAAAGUGACAUCUUUACACACCUCCCUUGCCCAGAAUAGUUACAUCCACUUUCUGUUCCAGAACAGACAAUGACAGUUUCUACUGCUAGAGAAUUUCAUCUUUGGGAUUAAAACAUAUUUAUUCCUGAAUUUACAUUGUAACAUCACACUUAGGGUUGGGGUUUUUUGCUGAGUCAAUUAAUUUAAAUGAGGGAUCACCCAUUUGCAAGGCAGCAAAUAUACCUAAAGCUCCUUUGCUUAACUGUUGCAUUGGAUACUACAAUAAUUACUGCCUACUUUCUGUUUUCCUCGUGUGUCUCAUUGCGAUGGUAUGCGUGGGAGGGAAGGAGUGGAGAAACAAGAUAUUCUGGGAGCAUAACAACACCUAAGAGAUUGCUCGGCUAGAUAUGUUUCCUUAGCCAGUUUCAUGUGUGAAAAUUCAAAUUUGCAGACAAAAAACAGUCCCAGAAGCAUAAUAAUAAAAUCUGUAGGAUGUCUAUGCUGAGAAUUACUUCGCUGCUGGUUACAACUGAAAGUUUUGACUUGCAGCUGGGGUAAAUACAGCCUUGAAGCAAAACUGAACUGCCUGGGAUCAUGUCAUGAACCAAGCCAU